Molecule: transfer RNA, 75 nt
Filed under: Camelus bactrianus (Bactrian camel)
Lineage: Eukaryota; Metazoa; Chordata; Mammalia; Artiodactyla; Camelidae
Also listed under: 2 other names
Rfam family: tRNA
About the family: Transfer RNA (tRNA) molecules are approximately 80 nucleotides in length.
Source: Rfam by way of RNAcentral
GAGGAUAUAGCUCAGUGGUAGCAGAGUGCGUGCUUAGCAUGCACCAAGUCCUGGGUUCAAUCCUCAGUACCUCCA